AGCUUUGCGCAGUGGCAGUAUCAUAGCCAAUGAGGUCCAACCGAGGCGUGAUUAUUGCUAAUUGUGCUGAAGCUGAGGCUUGAUGAAAGCGGAGGAGCUGUGUUCCUAUUAGGGAAGAGCUGCUGGCACAUGCUCCUUCUGCCUAAUCAUGCUUCACUUCCUUUGCCCCAGCCAUUAGGCGGCCGGGAGGU
RNAcentral lists this small nuclear RNA (191 nucleotides) under Xenopus tropicalis (tropical clawed frog). RNAcentral's name for it is "U4 spliceosomal RNA (ENSXETG00000035044.2)". The stretch from base 1 to 65 matches the Rfam family "U4 spliceosomal RNA". The record is from RNAcentral. Lineage: Eukaryota; Metazoa; Chordata; Amphibia; Anura; Pipidae.